RNAcentral lists this non-coding RNA (21 nucleotides) under Caenorhabditis elegans. Lineage: Eukaryota; Metazoa; Nematoda; Chromadorea; Rhabditida; Rhabditidae. The record is from RNAcentral.
UUGUCUUUUGUAGAUCACGUC